Molecule: ribosomal RNA, 439 nt
Filed under: uncultured bacterium
Lineage: Bacteria
Description: bacterial SSU rRNA
Rfam family: Bacterial small subunit ribosomal RNA
Source: RNAcentral
CCUACGGGGGGCAGCAGUGGGGAAUAUUGGGCAAUGGGCGCAAGCCUGACCCAGCAACGCCGCGUGAAGGAAGAAGGCUUUCGGGUUGUAAACUUCUUUUGACAGGGAAGAGCAGAAGACGGUACCUGUCGAAUAAGCCACGGCUAACUACGUGCCAGCAGCCGCGGUAAUACGUAGGUGGCAAGCGUUGUCCGGAUUUACUGGGUGUAAAGGGCGUGUAGCCGGGCUGACAAGUCAGAUGUGAAAUCCGGGGGCUCAACCCCCGAACUGCAUUUGAAACUGUUGGUCUUGAGUAUCGGAGAGGCAGGCGGAAUUCCUAGUGUAGCGGUGAAAUGCGUAGAUAUUAGGAGGAACACCAGUGGCGAAGGCGGCCUGCUGGACGACAACUGACGGUGAGGCGCGAAAGCGUGGGGAGCAAACAGGAUUAGAUACCCGGGUA